CUACGGGUGGCACCAGUCGCGAAAACUUUACAAUGCACGCAAGUGUGAUAAGGGAAUCCCAAGUGCUUGUCCUCUGGGCAGGCUUUUUUCAAGCGUAAGUAACUUGGAGAAUAAGUGGUGGGCAAGACCGGUGCCAGCCGCCGCGGUAAUCCCGGCGCCACAAGUGGAGAUCACGAUUAUUGGGCCUAAAGCGUCCGUAGCUGAUUUGAUAAGUCUUUUGUGAAAUCGCUGAACUUAAUUCAGCGGCGUGCAAGAGAUACUAUUAAAUUAGAGACCGGGAAGAGACAAGAGAAUUCUUUGGGGAGCGGUAAAAUGUUUUAAUCCAAAGAAGACUACCAAUGGCGAAGGCACUUGUCUAGAACGGGUCUGACAGUGAGGGACGAAGGCUAGGGGAGCGAUCGGGAUUAGAUACCCCUGUAGUC
RNAcentral lists this ribosomal RNA (422 nucleotides) under uncultured archaeon. RNAcentral describes it as "partial 16S ribosomal RNA". It matches the Rfam family "Archaeal small subunit ribosomal RNA", at positions 323 to 746 of the family's 1478-position model. The record is from RNAcentral.